AACGAACGCUGGCGGCAGGCCUAACACAUGCAAGUCGAACGCGCGUAGCAAUACGCGAGUGGCGCACGGGUGAGUAACACGUGGGAAUCAACCCUGAGGUUCGGAAUAACCGCGGGAAACUGCGGCUAAUACCGGAUGUCCCCCAUGGGGGAAGAUUUAUCGCCUUGGGACGAGCCCGCGUCCGAUUAGCUAGUUGGUGAGGUAACGGCUCACCAAGGCUACGAUCGGUAGCUGGUCUGAGAGGAUGACCAGCCACACUGGAACUGAGAUACGGUCCAGACUCCUACGGGAGGCAGCAGUGGGGAAUAUUGGGCAAUGGAGGCAACUCUGACCCAGCCAUGCCGCGUGGGUGACGAAGGUCUUCGGAUUGUAAAGCCCUUUCGGCGGAGACGAUGAUGACGGUAUCCGCAGAAGAAGCCCCGGCUAACUUCGUGCCAGCCGCCGCGGUAAU
Molecule: ribosomal RNA, 451 nt
Filed under: uncultured bacterium
Lineage: Bacteria
Description: bacterial SSU rRNA
Rfam family: Bacterial small subunit ribosomal RNA
Source: RNAcentral